AACCCAUGGUGAGGGAACCGCUUAAGAAGAUCCUUGAAUCUCUCAUGUGCCUCAAACAACGUCUCUAACUUUCCUUGUUUGGACGCUGAAAUUUUCUCCCUGAUCUU
Molecule: small nucleolar RNA, 107 nt
Organism: Dioscorea cayenensis subsp. rotundata (Guinea yam)
Lineage: Eukaryota; Viridiplantae; Streptophyta; Magnoliopsida; Dioscoreales; Dioscoreaceae
Source: RefSeq, a predicted model, not a curated record